UACAGAGGUCUCAAGCGUUGUUCGGAUUUAUUGGGCGUAAAGGGUGCGCAGGCUGUAUGGUAAGUUUGGUGUGAAAUCCUGGAGCUUAACUCCAGAAUUGCACUGAAUACUGCCGUGCUAGAGGACUGGAGAGGAGAUUGGAAUUCACGGUGUAGCAGUGAAAUGCGUAGAUAUCGUGAGGAAGACCAGUGGCGAAGGCGAAUCUCUGGACAGUUCCUGACGCUCAUGCACGAAGGCCAGGGGAGCAAACGGG
Molecule: ribosomal RNA, 253 nt
Filed under: uncultured bacterium
Lineage: Bacteria
Description: partial 16S ribosomal RNA
Rfam family: Bacterial small subunit ribosomal RNA
Source: RNAcentral